UGGGGAAUAUUGGGCAAUGGGCGCAAGCCUGACCCAGCAACGCCGCGUGAAGGAAGAAGGCUUUCGGGUUGUAAACUUCUUUUAAGAGGGACGAAAAAAAUGACGGUACCUCUUGAAUAAGCCACGGCUAACUACGUGCCAGCAGCCGCGGUAAUACGUAGGUGGCAAGCGUUGUCCGGAUUUACUGGGUGUAAAGGGCGUGUAGGCGGGAUUAUAAGUCAGGCGUGAAAACCAUGGGCUCAACUCAUGGCCUGCGUUUGAAACUGUAGUUCUUGAGUGAUGGAGAGGCAGGCGGAAUUCCUAGUGUAGCGGUGAAAUGCGUAGAUAUUAGGAGGAACACCAGUGGCGAAGGCGGCCUGCUGGACAUUAACUGACGCUGAGGCGCGAAAGCGUGGGGAGC
This 400-nucleotide ribosomal RNA is filed under the name uncultured bacterium. RNAcentral describes it as "bacterial SSU rRNA". It matches the Rfam family "Bacterial small subunit ribosomal RNA", at positions 355 to 769 of the family's 1533-position model. The record is from RNAcentral.